This 466-nucleotide ribosomal RNA is filed under the name uncultured bacterium. RNAcentral's name for it is "SSU rRNA". It matches the Rfam family "Bacterial small subunit ribosomal RNA", at positions 26 to 518 of the family's 1533-position model. The record is from RNAcentral.
AGGACUAACGCUGGCGGCGUGCCUAACACAUGCAAGUCGAGCGGGGUAGCAAUACCCAGCGGCAGACGGGUGAGUAACGCGUGGUCAACCUUCCGUUGAAUGGGGGAUAACUAGCCGAAAGGUUAGCUAAUACCGCAUACGAUCUUUUGAAGGCAUCUUUAAAAGAUGAAAGGAGCAAUUCGUUCAACGACGGGACCGCGUCCCAUUAGCUAGAUGGUGGGGUAAUGGCCUACCAUGGCAACGAUGGGUAGCUGGUUUGAGAGAGCGACCAGCCACACUGGGACUGAGAAACGGCCCAGACUCCUACGGGAGGCAGCAGUGAGGAAUUUUCCGCAAUGGGCGAAAGCCUGACGGAGCGACGCCGCGUGUGGGAAGAAGGCCUUCGGGUCGUAAACCACUGUCGAAGGGACGAUAAUGACGGUACCCUUGGAGGAAGCCCCGGACUAACGUACGUGCCAGCAGCCGC